GAUGAACGUUGGCGGCGUGCCUAAUACAUGCAAGUCGAACGGGAAGGUUGCUUUCGGGCGGCUGGAGAGUGGCGAACGGGUGAGUAACACGUAACUGAUCUGCCCUUUAGAUUGGGAUAACCUUUGGAAACAGGGGCUAAUACCGGAUGAGACCGUGGUAGUUAGAGAGCUGCGGUGAAAGUUUAGGCGCUAAGGGAUGAGGUUGCGGGCCAUCAGCUAGUUGGUGAGGUAAGGGCUCACCAAGGCGAUGACGGAUAGGGGACCUGAGAGGGUGGCCCCCCACACUGGGA
Molecule: ribosomal RNA, 290 nt
Filed under: bacterium
Lineage: Bacteria
Description: partial 16S rRNA
Rfam family: Bacterial small subunit ribosomal RNA
Source: RNAcentral